RNAcentral lists this small RNA (86 nucleotides) under Salmonella enterica. RNAcentral's name for it is "partial RtT sRNA". It matches the Rfam family "RtT RNA", at positions 49 to 130 of the family's 130-position model. From Rfam's summary of the family: This family represents a bacterial cis-regulatory element known as RtT RNA. The exact function of RtT is unknown although it is thought that it may be involved in changing the cellular response in relation to amino acid starvation. The record is from RNAcentral. Lineage: Bacteria; Pseudomonadati; Pseudomonadota; Gammaproteobacteria; Enterobacterales; Enterobacteriaceae. RNAcentral also lists the same sequence under 2 other names.
AACGAGAAUAAAACGUGAAGGAUAACGUUGCGUCAGCAACGGCCCGUAGGGCGAGGCAAAGCCGAGUCAUCCUGCACAACCCACCA